CCUACGGGAGGCAGCAGUGAGGAAUAUUGGUCAAUGGACGAGAGUCUGAACCAGCCAAGUAGCGUGAAGGAUGACUGCCCUAUGGGUUGUAAACUUCUUUUAUAAAGGAAUAAAACGAGGCACGUGUGCCUUUUUGCAUGUACUUUAUGAAUAAGGAUCGGCUAACUCCGUGCCAGCAGCCGCGGUAAUACGGAGGAUCCGAGCGUUAUCCGGAUUUAUUGGGUUUAAAGGGAGCGUAGAUGGUUUGUUAAGUCAGUUGUGAAAGUUUGCGGCUCAACCGUAAAAUUGCAAUUGAUACUGGCAGUCUAGAGAACAGUUGAGGUAGGCGGAAUGCGUGGUGUAGCGGUGAAAUGCUUAGAGAUCACGAAGAACCCCGAUUGCGAAGGCAGCUUACUAAACUGUGACUGACAUUGAUGCACGAAAGUGUGGGUAUCAAACAGGAUUAGAUACCCCUGUAGUC
Molecule: ribosomal RNA, 460 nt
Filed under: uncultured bacterium
Lineage: Bacteria
Description: partial 16S ribosomal RNA
Rfam family: Bacterial small subunit ribosomal RNA
Source: RNAcentral